AACACCUUCCACCAGCUGGCUGCAACAAAUCCAUGUGCACAUCGGAUUGCAAUGAAGAAGCUCAGACUUCACCAGGUUUUAUUUCAUCUUGUUAUUAUU
Molecule: long non-coding RNA, 99 nt
Organism: Daphnia pulicaria
Lineage: Eukaryota; Metazoa; Arthropoda; Branchiopoda; Diplostraca; Daphniidae
Exons: 3
Source: RefSeq, a predicted model, not a curated record